This 256-nucleotide ribosomal RNA is filed under the name uncultured bacterium. RNAcentral describes it as "partial 16S ribosomal RNA". It matches the Rfam family "Bacterial small subunit ribosomal RNA", at positions 524 to 776 of the family's 1533-position model. The record is from RNAcentral.
UACGUAGGGGGCAAGCGUUGUCCGGAUUUAUUGGGCGUAAAGAGCGUGUAGGCGGCUUGGUAGGUCCGCUGUGAAAACUCGAGGCUCAACUUCGAGCUGUCGGUGGAAACUUUCUGGCUAGAGUCCGGAAGAGGAGAAUGGAAUUCCUGGUGUAGCGGUGAAAUGCGCAGAUAUCAGGAAGAACACCCGUGGGCGAAGGCGGUUCUCCUGGGACGGUACUGACGCUGGAGACGCGAAAGCGUGGGGAGCGAACAGG